GAAGGUGCUUCGGGCGAGACCCCGGUCCAAGUCCCUUGGAACAGGGCGUCGCAGAGGGUGAGAAUCCCGUACGCGACCGGGGGGAGAGCCCGUGUGAAGCCCUUUCGACGAGUCGAGUUGUUUGGGAAUGCAGCUCUAAAUGGGUGGUAAAUUUCAUCUAAAGCUAAAUAUCUGCCGGAGACCGAUAGCGCACAAGUAGAGUGAUCGAAAGAUGAAAAGCACUUUGAAAAGAGAGUCAAACAGUACGUGAAAUUGUUGAAAGGGAAGCGCUUGCAACCAGACUCGUUCGCGGGUGCUCAGCUGUCCUUCGGGGCGGUGCACUCUCCCGCGUUUCGGGCCAGCAUCGGUUUUGGCGGCCGGAUAAAGGCCCUGGGAACGUAGCUCUCUCCGGGGAGUGUUAUAGCCUGGGGUGCAAUGCGGCCAGCCGGGACCGAGGACCGCGCAUUUGUUAGGAUGCUGGCGUAAUGGUUGUUAGCGACCCGUCUUGAAACACGGGCCAAGGAGUCGACCAAUCGGGCGAGUUUUAGGGCGUCAAACCCUGAAGCGUAAUGAAAGUAAAUGCAGGUGGGAGCCUUCGGGUGCACCAUCGACCGAUCCUGAUGUCUUCGGAUGGAUUUGAGUAUGAGCCCGGCUGGUCGGACCCGAAAGAUGGCGAACUAUGCGUGAAUAGGGUGAAGCCAGAGGAAACUCUGGUGGAGGCUCGCAGCGGUUCUGACGUGCAAAUCGAUCGUCAAAUUUGCGCAUAGGGGCGAAAGACUAAUCGAGCCAUCUAGUAGCUGGUUCUCGUCGAAGUUUCCCUCAGGAUAGCAGCAACGAAAACAGUCUCAUGAGGUAGAGCAAACGAUUAGAGGUCUUGGGAUUAAAAUUAAUCUUAACCUAUUCUCGAACUUCGAAUAUGUGAGAAGUCCUUGUUACUUAGUUGAACGUGGACAUU
Molecule: ribosomal RNA, 934 nt
Filed under: Ocellularia cinerea
Lineage: Eukaryota; Fungi; Ascomycota; Lecanoromycetes; Ostropales; Graphidaceae
Description: partial 28S ribosomal RNA
Rfam family: Eukaryotic large subunit ribosomal RNA
Source: RNAcentral